AUGGAAAUGACCUCUACAAAAAUUGCAUUAUGUUGUGUUCUAAUUCUUUCUGGAGCCACCAUAAGAGGAUGUUUUUGCUACAAGGAAGAGAAUAUCAAGGAAAAAACUCAGUCAAUUCCAUGGCCAUUACAAAUUCCUCCAAUCAAUAGAGAUGAAGCCUCUACUCAAGCUUCUGAGGAGCAGAUAAAUCAUUUCUCAGUUCACUUAUGGAACAAAAGGCUAGAUGGUAAUAAUUAUUAUGCAUUAGAAGCUACGAUGGAUGUCUAUGGAUUUCAUUUAGGACAUGAAGAACAAAGUGUGGCGGCAAUUUGGAUCUAUAGUAGAGGAGAAGAUGGAAAAUCUCCCGUUACUGGAUUUGCACUUGGAUGGCAUAUCCAUCCUGCACUUUACAAGGAUACAAAUACAUAUUUUCUUACACAUUGGACUGGCAAUGGAUCACCUCCAGAUGGAUGCUAUAACAUUCGAUGUCCUGGUUACAUAAGAACAAGUUCUAGUACAACUCCUGGGGACGUUAUUACUCCUGUGUCUAGCAUCAGGGAUAAAAAGCAGUACAUAACAAUCAAGGCUUACAAGGAUAAGAAAUCUGGUGAUUGGCAAGUCCACUAUGGAUUCAAUAGUCCUGCAAAAUUAAUUGGUUACUUUCCCAAAUCAUUAUUCUCGGACAUGGAAAAGAAACAAUUAAUUAUUUCUUUUGGUGGCUUCACAAGCCACCCACAUGCACAACCAAGUCCUCCAAUGGGGAGCGGGUUAUUUCCAGGGAGAAAUGCCGCCUCCUUCAAGAAUCUAAAAUUUGUUGAUGCAGAAGGCUCUACUCAUGACAUCAACAAAGAUUUACCAUUUAAUGUAACUUCUCAUAGUUGUUAUCGUCUUUCUACUAUCGUAUCUGGUCACUUCUUCUAUGGGGGCCCAGGUCAUUGUGUUGUUUGA
This 927-nucleotide ribosomal RNA is filed under the name Triticum aestivum (bread wheat). Its description in RNAcentral is "partial small subunit ribosomal RNA". Lineage: Eukaryota; Viridiplantae; Streptophyta; Magnoliopsida; Poales; Poaceae. The record is from RNAcentral.